UUUACAAAAAUCUUCUCCUCUGAAACUACUGGGCCAAAUUAAUCCAAACUUGGCCACAAUCAUCUUUGGGGUAUCUAGUUUAAAAAAUGUGUGGCGGUGACCUGGUCAACCAACCAAGAUGGCCGCCACGGCUAAAAAUAGAACAUAGGGGUAAAAUGCAGUUUUUGGCUUAUAACUCAAAAACCAAAGCAUUUAGAGCAAAUCUGACAGGA
RNAcentral lists this long non-coding RNA (212 nucleotides) under Mytilus galloprovincialis (Mediterranean mussel). The record is from RNAcentral. Lineage: Eukaryota; Metazoa; Mollusca; Bivalvia; Mytilida; Mytilidae.